Molecule: ribosomal RNA, 485 nt
Filed under: uncultured bacterium
Lineage: Bacteria
Description: bacterial SSU rRNA
Rfam family: Bacterial small subunit ribosomal RNA
Source: RNAcentral
ACAUGCAAGUCGAACGAGACGAUUUAGAAGCUUGCUUUUAUUGAGUCGAGUGGCAAACGGGUGAGUAACGCGUAGACAACCUGCCGCAAAGAUGGGGACAACAGUCCGAAAGGGCUGCUAAUACCGAAUGUUGUAUCUCCUCCGCAUGGAAGAGAUAUUAAAGAUGGCCUCUACUUGUAAGCUAUCGCUUUGCGAUGGGUCUGCGUCUGAUUAGCUAGUUGGUGGGGCAACGGCCUACCAAGGCGACGAUCAGUAGCCGGUCUGAGAGGAUGAACGGCCACAUUGGAACUGAGACACGGUCCAGACUCCUACGGGAGGCAGCAGUGGGGAAUCUUCCGCAAUGGGCGAAAGCCUGACGGAGCAACGCCGCGUGAGUGAAGAAGGUCUUCGGAUCGUAAAGCUCUGUUGUCGGGGACGAAUGUUGAGACCUAGAACAUAGGUUUCAAAUGACGGUACCUGACGAGGAAGCCACGGCUAACUACGUG